GUGACUUUAGUUUAAAGUAGAAUAUUGGUUUGUCUAACCAAAGGUGAUAUGGUAUCCAGUCACU
This 64-nucleotide transfer RNA is filed under the name Ligula intestinalis. Its description in RNAcentral is "tRNA-Asp". It matches the Rfam family "tRNA". From Rfam's summary of the family: Transfer RNA (tRNA) molecules are approximately 80 nucleotides in length. The record is from RNAcentral. Lineage: Eukaryota; Metazoa; Platyhelminthes; Cestoda; Diphyllobothriidea; Diphyllobothriidae.